Molecule: ribosomal RNA, 433 nt
Filed under: uncultured bacterium
Lineage: Bacteria
Description: partial 16S ribosomal RNA
Rfam family: Bacterial small subunit ribosomal RNA
Source: RNAcentral
AACGAACGCUGGCGGCAUGCCUAACACAUGCAAGUCGAACGAGACCUUCGGGUCUAGUGGCGCACGGGUGCGUAACGCGUGGGAACCUGCCCUUAGGUUCGGCAUAACUCCCCGAAAGGGGUGCUAAUACCGGAUAAUGUCUUCGGACCAAUGAUUUAUCGCCUUUGGAUGGGCCCGCGUUGGAUUAGCUCGUUGGUAGGGUAAAAGCCUACCAAGGCGACGAUCCAUAGCUGGUCUGAGAGGAUGCUCAGCCACACUGGGACUGAGACACGGCCCAGACUCCUACGGGAGGCAGCAGUGGGGAAUAUUGGACAAUGGGCGAAAGCCUGAUCCAGCAAGGCCGCGUGAGUGAUGAAGGCCGUAGGGUUGUAAAGCGCUUUUACCCGGGAUGAUAAUGACAGUACCGGGAGAAUAAGCUCCGGCUAACUCCGUG